Molecule: long non-coding RNA, 3475 nt
Organism: Hippopotamus amphibius kiboko
Lineage: Eukaryota; Metazoa; Chordata; Mammalia; Artiodactyla; Hippopotamidae
Exons: 4
Source: RefSeq, a predicted model, not a curated record
UCAGCCGCCUGCACUCUUAGCCGCUGGCCGCCGGAAGCCACGCCCCCGACAGUUCCCAUGGCCGAGCCGGGCAACUUCCGGGUUCGCUCCCGCUUCUCCUCUGUUGACCACCGUGGCUGAUGGGCUGGCGGCCAUCUUAGGUGCUGGCAAAAUGACUCACUUCCGGAGCGCAAUCUUGGGAACCGGAAGUGAGGUUUCCGGCCUGGGCGCCGGAAGUGAGGAUAACCCCAGUAGUCCCAAGAAGUAGAAACAUUGUGGUCCACACCUACAAGUGAGGAUACAUAGCUCAAAGAGACAAAUCAUUAUUACAGAGACUUGCUCAAGGACAAGCACCAGGCUUACAUCACAAAAUGAGUUAGGCCAAAAACGGCUUCUCUUAUGUCAAGAAAGCCAUGCCUGGUUUUCUUUUUUCUGCCCGCCCACCCCCCGCCCCCCCCAUCUGCCUACAGGAGGAGUAGGUGUCUUUGAAUUUUGAGGGAUGCACCUUGAGCAGGGCCACUUAAUGGCAGUGAAGCAAAGGGCAGGCAGAGCUCUUCCCUUCUCCAGGCCUCAGUUUAUUCACUGUUGACAUGGGACUAAUGAUACCAGCUCAUAGAACUGCUAUGAGGAUUAAAUUAGGUUAGCGGUUCACAAACUUUUACUCUCAAGACUGUUUUGUACUCUUUAAAAAUGAUAGAUUUCCCUGGUGGUACAGCGGUUAGGACUCCAUGCUCUCACUGCCAAGGGCCCUGGUGCAAUCCCUGGUCAGGGAACUAAAAUCCCACAAGCCAUGCAGUGUGGCCAAAAAAAAAAAAAAGAUUGAGGGCCUCAAAAAGUUUUUGCUAAUAUGGGUUAUAUCUGUCCAUGUUUACCAUAUUAUAAACUAAAACAAAUUUUUAAAAAUUAUUUUCAUUUUAAAAUAAUAAACAAUACCUUUUUUAAAAAGUAGCUAUAUUUCCCCAAAAUAUAGAGAAGAGUGACAACUGUUAUACAUUGUUGCAAAUCUCUUUAAAGUCUGGCUUCAUAGAAGAUAGGUGGAGUCUCACAUCUGCUUCUGCACUGAAUCUGUUGCAAUAUGUUGCUAGGCUUGAAGUAUGUGAAGAAAACUGAGCCUCAGGUAUGUGGUUCAACAAGGAAAGAGCUGCAGACCCAACUUUAAGAACAGCUUAGAACACCUGGCAAGGCCUUGGGAAUAGUAGUGAAAUGAAGCCAGUGAGUCAGGAAAAUGAGCUGAUAGCUUUGAGCAUCUCCCACACCCUGGGCCCCAAAGGACUGGCCCAGGUAGGCUCAGGCCCCACUCCAUCCAGGGAUGGUUGAGAAAUGGGGGCAGAAACAGCCCACUCCUGGAGAUAAGUAAACCCUAAGUGGGGGUAGGGGGAAGGGUGAGAAGGCCUUCCUACACCCCCAUAAGGCCAGGGGACCCUGAACAUGUCUGAGAUUUUCUCAGCAUCUGUGAAUGGAGAAUUGGGAUCAGAUUGUUAAGUAUUAAAACAUUUCCUGAAGGAAACCUCUGUAGUGCUGGAAACAUUCUCUGUCUUGGUUUGUUGUUGUUGUUUUUCCAAGGAACGUUUUAUCACUGACAGUGUUUAGAAUUACUAGUGUAUGGUUAUUCAAAAGAUUAAAUCUUGAUUUUAUGAUUGUUUAAAAAUUCUCCACAGAUGCACCUAGGGUGGACCACACCCACCUCAUCCCUAAUAUGAUACACCACUGGCUGUAGACAAAGGGACAGAUGCUUUGAAAGAAUCACAGUGGGGUAACACUGAGGGACACAAAGAGGGAGCUUGUCUGCAGGGGCUGGAGGAAGGAAAGGCUGGAAAAAAGACAUAAAAACGGUGUUAGCAGACAGCGUUUAUUAGUUGUUUUUCAUGCCCUGGACCCACACUCCCUUCUUUGUAUAACAUCAACCCAGUUUUUAUUAGGGGAAGCAGCUUUUCCUUUAUUUAACCCAUGUGGUCUGACUUAAAUUAACUUGAUUCUUGUGUGUGCAGUUGAGAACAGCAUUCCCAGUGGUUGUUUCAGGAAGCACAGGGAAGUAAUCCAGGUUUAUCCAGUAAAGCUCACGCCUUUGGCUUGCACUGAAAUGACUGUGGGGAGAAUCGACCUCAGCUGAGAAGCUGGGCGGUCAGCACGUGCUGUCAGCACUGAUGCAGGCACCACAGGUGGCAGCAACAGAGGGGAAACGUCUGGGAAGUGGCAAGAAAGGGGACAACAGAGUGAGCCAGAGGAUCGAGUCCAGCUCAGCUGAUUUUAAUUUUCUGACUAGUGAAUUCCAUCUUUUGCGUAAACAAUUUGAGUUGGGUUCCUUUCACUCAGCUCCUAGAGUCCAAGCUAAUAAUAAGGGUACCCUGGGAUGGACCAGUCACCUCUUCAGAUAAAAGCUGGAAGUGAAGCAAAGACCAAAAAAGCCAUCAUUAGCUGGGAUUCCUGCACAGGGACAUUUUGCCUAGAUUCUUUAUGCCCCUCCAACUAGGUCCCAGCUAGAUUUAAUCAGUGUCUUUUUUUCUUUUUAUUUAUUUAUUUAUUAUUUUGGGGGGGGGGAAUCAGUGUCUUUUUCUUGUUUGAAAAAGAGGAAAUGAGAGGGAGGAAGGAGCAAAAGAGGAGAAGAAAAAAGGAAUAUAAGAUGGAAAACUCAUCUUCCAACCACACUGAAAAGCCAUCCACAAAUAGUGGCAAAACACUGGUAACUUGAGCCCAGUGAUGAGUACUUACUCUGUUCUUGCUAUUCUUAUGUAUGUCUGGAAUUUUACUUACUAAAGUUUUUAUUUUUGAAGGAAGCAUGCAAUAUCAUGUAUCACUUGAUAUGGCAUGACAUGAUGAGAAAGGCACAUCACGUCUGUGGUAUUCUCCUGCUCUUAAACCUAUAAUCCCUGUCUAAUCAUUAGAAAAACAUCAGACAAACCCAAAUUGAGAGAAAUUUUGCAGAAAAACUGACCAGGAGUCUUGGUAACUGCCCAGGUCAUAGGAAACAUGGACAGACCAGAGGAGCCUAAGGAGACAAGACAGCUAAAUGCAGCAUGGGAUGCUGGAACAGAAAAGGACAUUGGUGGGAAAACUGAUUACCCUACAAAACCCUCCCUCCAGUGCUCAGAGAUAUGUAUGGGAUGUUUGUACAGACACGAGAGUGAUGGACAGGACUUGGUUCCCUAUGUGGGCACCUCAGAACAGCCUCAGGCUGCACCAACCCACCCCAGCAGGAAAUUUGCAGGGGGGCCUGACAACCCAUGUUCAAACAACUUCCUCACAUGAAUCCCAGAACCGCUGAGUUAUGGUAUACAAGAAAAUUAUGCAGGCAGUAGGAAGAUGUGUCUUAGAUCUAUGCUGACAUGAAAGAUGUCAAGGUCUGUGGUUAAGUGAAACGUGUAUGUGUGUGUGUGUAUAUGCAAAGAAAAGGGAAUGGAAAUUUUUCUAUCUGGGAAGAAAGGAGCAGGAGAAACUAAAGAUAGUGUCACUUUCCUCUUGCAUUUAUAUGUUGUUGACUCUAUGUAUUCAAUGUAAC